AAAAAAAAAAUAAAAAAAUAUAAAUCAAUGCUUAAAGCAGAAAGAUUAAAUGGGAGUUCUUCAAAAACUCAUGAUAACCAAUCAGAGGAAGAGGUGGAACCUCUAUAAAUAAAUAAAAAAGCUCAUCGACGAAAGCAAAUAGAGGCAUAUGAAGAGCUGAAGAAUCUAAUCAAAAGAAAAAAUGAUACCUUUGAGCUAAUC
This is a long non-coding RNA of Leptopilina boulardi, 201 nucleotides long. RefSeq lists it as uncharacterized. The record is from RefSeq and is a predicted model, not a curated record. The transcript is spliced from 3 exons. Lineage: Eukaryota; Metazoa; Arthropoda; Insecta; Hymenoptera; Figitidae.